AUACGAAAGGUGCAAGCGUUGUUCGGAUUUACAGGGCGUAAAGAGAGUGUAGGUGGUUUAUUAAGUCGGAUGUGAAAUCCCGGGGCUCAACCUCGGAACUGCAUUCGAUACUGAUAGGCUAGAGUUUGGGAGGGGUAAGCGGAAUUCCGUGUGUAGCAGUGAAAUGCGUAGAUAUACGGAGGAACACCUGAGGCGAAGGCGGCUUACUGGACCAAUACUGACACUGAGACUCGAAAGCGUGGGGAGCAAACAGGAUUAGAAACCCUAGUAGUCC
RNAcentral lists this ribosomal RNA (274 nucleotides) under uncultured bacterium. Its description in RNAcentral is "partial 16S ribosomal RNA". It matches the Rfam family "Bacterial small subunit ribosomal RNA", at positions 523 to 796 of the family's 1533-position model. The record is from RNAcentral.